This 480-nucleotide ribosomal RNA is filed under the name uncultured bacterium. Its description in RNAcentral is "bacterial SSU rRNA". It matches the Rfam family "Bacterial small subunit ribosomal RNA", at positions 330 to 800 of the family's 1533-position model. The record is from RNAcentral.
CCUGGAUCCUUCUACGGGAGGCAGCAGUGGGGAAUCUUCCGCAAUGGACGAACGUCUUACGGAGCAACGCCGCGUGAGUGAUGACGGCCUUCGGGUUGUAAAGCUCUGUUAAUCGGGACGAAAGGUCUUCUUGCGAAUAGUUAGAAGAAUUGACGGUACCGGAAUAGAAAGCCACGGCUAACUACGUGCCAGCAGCCGCGGUAAUACGUAGGUGGCAAGCGUUGUCCGGAAUUAUUGGGCGUAGAGCGCGCGCAGGCGGAUCAGUCAGUCUGUCUUAAAAGUUCGGGGCUUAACCCCGUGAUGGGAUGGAAACUGCUGAUCUAGAGUAUCGGAGAGGAAAGUUGAAUUCCUAGUGUAGCGGUGAAAUGCGUAGAUAUUAGGAAGAACACCAGUGGCGAAGGCGACUUUCUGGACGAAAACUGACGCUGAGGCGCGAAAGCCAGGGGAGCGAACGGGAUUAGAUACCCUUGUAGUCCUAUC